ACGUGGGGUGCACGUUGGGUUUCGGUCGUCUGGACCGAAUUCCAGAGUGAUCUUCAGGAGAAAAGAUUCGGAGCCAAACACAGGAUGUGUUGUACAUAUUUUUUUAGAGAAACUCAGAUUCCGUGAAAGAUGGCAGAGAUUUUGCGCCACAGCGUUCAUUUGAUGUGUUACAUAAUUACUGCGUGGAGAGAUGUAGCGUGGUCAGUAGUGACUGGACGUUGGAUUUGUGUUGUAUUGAUUUUAAAAGACACGCAAUUCAUACGUGACGAUAAAGAGCUAUGACAUUUUCCAUCAUGAUAAGAACAAUCUGUUGUUCUGAACAAACCGUGGCUGCUGCUCGCUGUGAGGAAGUUCAGACCCAACGCUCUGAAGGCAUAAACCUGUUUAGGUGUUCUUCAUGUAUUAAAGGUACAACAGAAGUAAGGAAGAUGACCACAAAGGGACAGCAGAGUUCCUUUUCUACCCCAUGACGUCCUACAACCUGGGGUAAUAACAACGAGGGCACAUCUUUAAUAUCUUUACUUCAGUGAGUUUGUUUGUUUGUUUUUAACCUAAAAACACAUUGUUGUAAUGUUGUGUACUCUUAAAGCUCUAACCAACAAUUACAGUCCAAUUAUCUAGAUUAAUUAGGUGUGUAUUGACACAAUAUGCCACGUAUUAUGAAGUUAUGAAGUUUACCAUUGCAGAUAUAUACACACACAGAUAGAUAGAUAGAUAGAUAGAUAGAUAGAUAGAUAGAUAGAUAGAUAGAUAGAUAGAUAGAUAGAUAGAUAGAUAGAUAGAUAGCAAUAGGAAAGGGUAAAAACUUCCAGCUUCCAGGGGAACGUUUACUUUUGGGACAUUUGUCUUGUAUAAUUUUGUUCAUAUAGACAUUUUUUUGCUCCUUGA
Hemibagrus wyckioides is the source of this 888-nucleotide long non-coding RNA. RefSeq lists it as uncharacterized. The transcript is spliced from 3 exons. Lineage: Eukaryota; Metazoa; Chordata; Actinopteri; Siluriformes; Bagridae. The record is from RefSeq and is a predicted model, not a curated record.